RNAcentral lists this ribosomal RNA (497 nucleotides) under uncultured bacterium. RNAcentral describes it as "partial 16S ribosomal RNA". It matches the Rfam family "Bacterial small subunit ribosomal RNA", at positions 28 to 507 of the family's 1533-position model. The record is from RNAcentral.
GAUGAACGCUGGCGGCGUGCCUAAUACAUGCAAGUCGAGCGAACGGACGAGAAGCUUGCUUCUCUGAUGUUAGCGGCGGACGGGUGAGUAACACGUGGAUAACCUACCUAUAAGACUGGGAUAACUUCGGGAAACCGGAGCUAAUACCGGAUAAUAUUUUGAACCGCAUGGUUCAAAAGUGAAAGACGGUCUUGCUGUCACUUAUAGAUGGAUCCGCGCUGCAUUAGCUAGUUGGUAAGGUAACGGCUUACCAAGGCAACGAUGCAUAGCCGACCUGAGAGGGUGAUCGGCCACACUGGAACUGAGACACGGUCCAGACUCCUACGGGAGGCAGCAGUAGGGAAUCUUCCGCAAUGGGCGAAAGCCUGACGGAUCAACGCCGCGUGAGUGAUGAGGGUCUUCGGAUCGUAAAACUCUGUUAUUAGGGAAGAACAUAUGUGUAAGUAACUGUGCACAUCUUGACGGUACCUAAUCAGAAAGCCACGGCUAACUACGUG